This 1093-nucleotide long non-coding RNA is filed under the name Gossypium barbadense (sea-island cotton). Its description in RNAcentral is "long non-coding RNA (GBAR_LNC016459)". The record is from RNAcentral. Lineage: Eukaryota; Viridiplantae; Streptophyta; Magnoliopsida; Malvales; Malvaceae.
UCUUUGUUAUUUCUUCUAAGUUUGCACUUGUGUUCCACUUGUUCUAUUCUACAAUUUUUUUCAAGGUUUACCUUUAAUUGAUCUAGCUUUGAAGUUGGUAGUAUUUUCCCAUAUUUUUUAGUUUCUUUUGCUUGUGUUUCAUUCUUUUCAAAUCAUUGUUCGAAACCGACGGCACACAAAAGGCCUUAUGACGUCCCUAUUGGAAGUGGUGAAUUCAAAUAUACUACUACCAUGGAGGAUAUGUGGCAUCUACUUGAAUGCAGGGAGAUUGAAUGUUUUUCUAACUUCAAAUACAAGUUUUCAAUCCCCAAAAGGAAACAUCGUUUAAGCGAAGUGGGUUUGAAAGAGGAUGAUUCACUGUACUUUUUGGUAUUGCUAUUGUACUUGAGGUAGGUUUUCAUUUGUCACUACAUCCUUUCUUUUUGUAAUUUAUAAAUUCUUACGGGGUUGCACCGGGUCAACUGAUGGGGACUUUUUGGUGGGCUUUGUUUGCUCUAUUUUAUAUAUAUUGUCGCCAAAAGGGAAAAGAACAUUUAGUUGAUGUGUUUAGAAGAGAUUUUAUAUAUAUAUUUAAGGGCGAAGCAAAAAAAAAUUUAGGAGGCCGAAAUUAAAUUGUAAUUUAUACGAUAGUAAAAAUGCAAUUUCACCAUUUUAAUAGCCUAUAUCUUUAUAAUUUUUAAAGGAUUAAAUCAAAAUUUUAUCAUAUUUAGGGGGCUUAAAUGAAAAUUUUCCAUUUUUGGGGCCUUGCUAGCCCCUAGCUACGCACAUGUAUAUAUUGUCUCCUACUGGUGAAGUUUAUCAUAAGAUCUUUAUGAUGCGGACAACUAGCAAAGGCAUGACAACGAUGCUAGACAACCUCUGAAAUAAUAUGCAUUUAGUGAGAGAAAAUUACAUUAAAGUUCAACAAUUAUGCAGAGGUGGAUUUCCAUUCCCAAUUUCCUGGUACGAGCCUAGCAAUGAUCAAAAUACAUUGAAACCCAUUUUGGAGACCAAUUCGGAGAUGCACUUGUAUUAACGCUUAUGCGAAGGUUCACUGAUAAAGGUGGAAGACACUAAUAGCUUGUACCAUAUAUGGAAAUAUUGCCUGAUGAGG